This 253-nucleotide ribosomal RNA is filed under the name uncultured bacterium. Its description in RNAcentral is "partial 16S ribosomal RNA". It matches the Rfam family "Bacterial small subunit ribosomal RNA", at positions 524 to 776 of the family's 1533-position model. The record is from RNAcentral.
UACGUAGGGUCCGAGCGUUGUCCGGAAUUACUGGGCGUAAAGAGCUCGUAGGUGGUUUGUCGCGUUGUUCGUGAAAACUCACAGCUUAACUGUGGGCGUGCGGGCGAUACGGGCAGACUGGAGUACUGCAGGGGAGACUGGAAUUCCUGGUGUAGCGGUGAAAUGCGCAGAUAUCAGGAGGAACACCAGCAGCGAAGGCGGCGCUCUGGGCUGGAACUGACGCUGAGGAGCGAAAGCGUGGGUAGCAAACAGG